Molecule: transfer RNA, 81 nt
Filed under: bacterium
Lineage: Bacteria
Description: tRNA-Leu
Rfam family: tRNA
About the family: Transfer RNA (tRNA) molecules are approximately 80 nucleotides in length. Their secondary structure includes four short double-helical elements and three loops (D, anti-codon, and T loops).
Source: RNAcentral
GUCGGAGUGGCGAAAUGGAAGACGCGCUAGGUUUAGGACCUAGUGGGGAAACCCGUGAGAGUUCAAAUCUCUCCUCCGACA